AAAAUGGUUACAUCCAUUUGCUGAGUUUUUGUUUUUGUUUUUUUGUUUUUCUGGAACCAUGAGUGUUUUUUCAUGCCCCGGGAGCUGUUUCACAGCUGUUUGAAUCAGUGGCCUCGCGGGCAUCUCCAGCUGGGCUAAUGAGUGACAGCUGGCCUCAAUUGCCAGGUCUCCAGCGCAUCCUGUUUGCAUCUCCUGAAGUUUGACCGCCACCUGGUGGACAUUAGAGGAUGUGCCUCCUUUGUGUUUUUCAAAGCAUCAGGGUGGAGGCCCAGGUCGGUCCCAGGUAGACAACCCACAGUGAACAUAACUUGAGUCACCUUAACAGGAUGAAAACCCAGGCUGCAGACGUGCGGAAUGAAGGAAUCACUCUUCCUCCCGCUUCUUUUCACUGUGACACGAUCUUGGCAGGAACGAGUCAGGAAACACACAGAAGUGUGGACACACACAGUUGAAUUUGCAGACCUGCAUUCAGCCGCCAGGAAGAGUAUACUUUAUGUCAUUUGGUGUGAGGAGCCGCACUCACAUUCGCCAUUACAAGAUGGCGCUGACAUCCGCUGCCCGAUCAAGUAAACAACGUUGCCUGCUGGCCCUCACUCCCCGCCCCACGCAAGGCCGGAUCGCUCCGUCCCAAGGCCAGCCAUCUGGACCGGCAGGAGAUAAGGCCAUUUCGCCUGGCUAUUAAACCUUAAGAAAAUGCUGAUUUGAUGCUUUUCGCUUCUGUACUAUGCCUGUUUUCCCUUAUAAAAAGGACCCUCCUUCCGGGGCUCUGGGCUUGGCAAAACAGAAGCUAAGCCCCGGAUAUCCGUGUUAUUAAUAAAUCCUCUUGUUCUUACAUCCAAAGUUCGUAGUUUCGCUGAUUCCUGGGUGUGGGUCUUCUUCCACGAAAGUACCUCUGCGGGGGUCUUUCAAGCUUAUGCUCUCUCUCUCUCAAGAUGCAUUAAAGCUUU
Molecule: long non-coding RNA, 947 nt
Filed under: Cricetulus griseus (Chinese hamster)
Lineage: Eukaryota; Metazoa; Chordata; Mammalia; Rodentia; Cricetidae
Description: lncRNA (ENSCGRG00015037453.1)
Source: RNAcentral